Molecule: ribosomal RNA, 429 nt
Filed under: Fusobacteriota bacterium
Lineage: Bacteria; Fusobacteriati; Fusobacteriota
Description: Fusobacteria bacterium partial 16S ribosomal RNA
Rfam family: Bacterial small subunit ribosomal RNA
Source: RNAcentral
UGGGGAAUAUUGCACAAUGGGCGCAAGCCUGAUGCAGCCAUGCCGCGUGUAUGAAGAAGGCCUUCGGGUUGUAAAGUACUUUCAGCGGGGAGGAAGGGAGUAAAGUUAAUACCUUUGCUCAUUGACGUUACCCGCAGAAGAAGCACCGGCUAACUCCGUGCCAGCAGCCGCGGUAAUACGGAGGGUGCAAGCGUUAAUCGGAAUUACUGGGCGUAAAGCGCACGCAGGCGGUUUGUUAAGUCAGAUGUGAAAUCCCCGGGCUCAACCUGGGAACUGCAUCUGAUACUGGCAAGCGUGAGUCUCGUAGAGGGGGGUAGAAUUCCAGGUGUAGCGGUGAAUGGCGUAGAGAUCUGGAGGAAUACGGGUGGCGAGGGCGGCCCCCUGGACGAAGACUGACGCUCAGGUGCGAAAGCAUGGGGAGCAAACAGG